RNAcentral lists this long non-coding RNA (660 nucleotides) under Prunus persica (peach). RNAcentral's name for it is "long non-coding RNA (PPER_LNC002045)". Lineage: Eukaryota; Viridiplantae; Streptophyta; Magnoliopsida; Rosales; Rosaceae. The record is from RNAcentral.
UUGCUUACAGAUAAAGUUUUAGCUUAGCAUGAGGAGAUUGUGGCAUGGGAGCAAGGUCAGCAUGAGUUGAGCACCAAAGAGGAAAAUAAGGCUUCCUAGGGAGAAAUGGGAGUGUUUAAGAUGAGGGAGACAAGGUUUGCAGGAUGAUCUUGGCUAAAAAAGGGUAAAGGAAGGGCAUUACUUCUUCCGGCAGCUUGACAGACUCUGAAAAUAGUCUGUUAACAGAGAAGAAUGAAGAAGAAGAGUGAAUAGGGCUACUGGAUUUUUGCAAGUAAGAGAGGGAGCUUGCUCUCUCAGCCUGGGUUGGUUUUUGCUAGGUGGAGGGGACCACCUUUUAUAGCUGCGGGAAACCUUCAUUCCCCAAGAAACCCUAAUGGUUUCUUCCCCAACUUAGCAAGGUUUUCCUUCCCUUUUCCUUUCCUCUCUUGACUUUUCCUGUUUUAGUGAGAUUUUUCUCUAUCUAUUUGCACAAAAUCAGGGAUUUUGGAGCUCAAGGCCUCCUUUCCUGCGGCUGCUUCAGUAGAAGAUUUCUACUUCCAGCCAUUUUCUUCCUUUCUUUCUCACUCUUUCCUAUAACCAGUUUUGAUAGGGAAGGAGUUGGGAUGUGUAUGUUGGUUUGAAGAGUGUCUAUCUUCCUGGGAGCUUGCAUGUUAACAUCCC